UGGGGAAUCUUGCGCAAUGGGCGAAAGCCUGACGCAGCGACGCCGCGUGAGUGAUGAAGGCCUUCGGGUCGUAAAGCUCUGUCGGAAGGGACGAAUUCUCCCUGGGUGAACAAUCCAGGGAAUUGACGGUACCUUCAAAGGAAGCACCGGCUAACUCUGUGCCAGCAGCCGCGGUAAGACAGAGGGUGCAAGCGUUGCUCGGAAUUAUUGGGCGUAAAGCGCGUGUAGGCGGCCUAGCAAGUGGGGUGUGAAAGCCCUCGGCUCAACCGAGGAAGUGCGCCUCAAACUACUAGGCUUGAGUGCUGGAGAGGGAAGCGGAAUUCCCGGUGUAGAGGUGAAAUUCGUAGAUAUCGGGAGGAACACCAGUGGCGAAGGCGGCUUCCUGGACAGACACUGACGCUGAGACGCGAAAGCGUGGGGAGCAAACAGG
RNAcentral lists this ribosomal RNA (430 nucleotides) under uncultured bacterium. Its description in RNAcentral is "bacterial SSU rRNA". It matches the Rfam family "Bacterial small subunit ribosomal RNA", at positions 355 to 776 of the family's 1533-position model. The record is from RNAcentral.